RNAcentral lists this ribosomal RNA (463 nucleotides) under uncultured bacterium. RNAcentral describes it as "bacterial SSU rRNA". It matches the Rfam family "Bacterial small subunit ribosomal RNA", at positions 29 to 506 of the family's 1533-position model. The record is from RNAcentral.
ACGAACGCUGGCGGCGUGCUUAACACAUGCAAGUCGAGCGGUAAGGCUCCUUCGGGAGUACACGAGCGGCGAACGGGUGAGUAACACGUGAGCAAUCUGCCCAUCACAUCGGGAUAACUUCGGGAAACCGAAGCUAAUACCGAAUACAACCACUUCAGGCAUCUGACGGUGGUGGAAAGUUCCGGCGGUGAUGGAUGAGCUCGCGGCCUAUCAGCUUGUUGGUGGGGUAAUGGCCCACCAAGGCUUCGACGGGUAGCCGGCCUGAGAGGGUGACCGGCCACACUGGGACUGAGACACGGCCCAGACUCCUACGGGAGGCAGCAGUGGGGAAUAUUGGACAAUGGGCGAAAGCCUGAUCCAGCAACGCCGCGUGAGGGAUGACGGCCUUCGGGUUGUAAACCUCUUUCAGCGCCGACGAAGCGAAAGUGACGGUAGGCGCAGAAGAAGCACCGGCCAACUACGU